AUAUAAAUACCAUCUAGAAGUGUUACUACAACUAACUUUAUUCCUUUUUAACAGAUGGAGAAUCUUAUGCAUUUUAUGGAAAUAGCACAGCUAUGACUUGCCAUCAGUUCAGCCAGCAGUCAAGCAAAGAAUGGAGCUCAGUUUUGCAAAGUCUGUCCAGGAAUAUAUCUACUAGAUUGCUUUACCCCUGAAUGAGAAGUUUGCCUUCAUUUUCUUACUAAGAUUUGGUCUGGAACCAACUAGCAACUGCAGCAGUUUCUGCUCUGGCUUCACAACCCAGUGUUAUGAAAAACAUGCUGAACAAAACAGAGAAAUGAAGAGAUGUACUAUUCCCAGUCUGAAAGGCAAGCUGAAACUCUUGAGGAGAGAGAGACAGGACAGCAAAAACCUUUCCCAGUGCCUAUGAAAAACAUCAGAAUAUAAUAAUAUAGCUUUGAAAACUUACAAAGUGAACCCAAAACUUGAUAGCAAACAUAAUAAGGAAGGGAAGCUCAUAAAUGAGGAAUACCAUUUAUAUAUGGAACCUCUUCUUAAGAGAUCUUGAGUAGCAUCUGGCACAACUAAGCCCUUAAAAUAUCACGACUGUUAAUUUGUUUACAAAGGACUUA
Molecule: long non-coding RNA, 608 nt
Filed under: Anser brachyrhynchus (Pink-footed goose)
Lineage: Eukaryota; Metazoa; Chordata; Aves; Anseriformes; Anatidae
Description: lncRNA (ENSABRG00000010606.1)
Source: RNAcentral